UUGCAAUGACAGCACAGAUACUAAAACUGCAACGAUGCAGAUAGGAUCAGCAUGGCCCUCUCGCUGGGAUGCCAUGCACAUCCAAUAAACAUUCCAUAUUUUC
Podarcis muralis (Common wall lizard) is the source of this 103-nucleotide small nuclear RNA. The record is from Ensembl. NCBI's taxonomy places the organism in Eukaryota, Metazoa, Chordata, Lepidosauria, Squamata, Lacertidae.